AUAAUCAUAACUCAUGACGGUAUCGACAGAAGAAGCACCGGCUAACUACGUGCCAGCAGCCGCGGUAAUACGUAGGGUGCGAGCGUUAAUCGGAAUUACUGGGCGUAAAGGGUGCGCAGGCGGUUCUGUAAGUCAGAUGUGAAAUCCCCGGGCUUAACCUGGGAACUGCGUUUGAAACUACAGGACUAGAGUGUGGCAGAGGGGGGUGGAAUUCCAUGUGUAGCAGUGAAAUGCGUAGAGAUAUGGAAGAACAUCGAUGGCGAAGGCAGCCCCCUGGGUUAACACUGACGCUCAUGCACGAAAGCGUGGGGAGCAAACAGGAUUAGAUACCCUGGUAGUCCACGCCCUAAAACUAUGUCAACUAGUUGUCGGGUCUUAUUAGACUUGGUAACGUAGCUAACGCGUGAAGUUGACCGCCUGGGGAGUACGGUCGCAAGAUU
RNAcentral lists this ribosomal RNA (440 nucleotides) under uncultured bacterium. Its description in RNAcentral is "bacterial SSU rRNA". It matches the Rfam family "Bacterial small subunit ribosomal RNA", at positions 456 to 895 of the family's 1533-position model. The record is from RNAcentral.